GAUGAACGCUGGCGGCGUGCUUAACACAUGCAAGUCGAACGAGAAGUGAAGACGGAAACCUUCGGGCGGAAGGCUUUAUUUCGAGUGGCGGCCGGGUGAGUAACGCGUGGGUAACCUGCCUCAUACAGGGGGAUAACAGUUGGAAACGACUGGUAAUACCGCAUAAGACCACAGCACCGCAUGGUGCGGGGGUAAAAACUCCGGUGGUAUGAGAUGGACCCGCGUUCGAUUAGCCAGUUGGCGGGGUAACGGCCCACCAAAGCGACGAUCGAUAGCCGAUCUGAGAGGAUGACCGGCCACACUGGGACUGAGACACGGCCCAAACUCCUACGGGAGGCAGCAGUGGGGAAUAUUGCACAAUGGGGGAAACCCUGAUGCAGCGACGCCGCGUGAGUGAAGAAGUCUUUAGGUAUGUAAAGCUCUAUCAGCAGGGAAGAAAAUGACGGUACCUGAGUAAGAAGCCCCGGCUAACUACGUG
RNAcentral lists this ribosomal RNA (478 nucleotides) under uncultured bacterium. RNAcentral's name for it is "partial 16S ribosomal RNA". It matches the Rfam family "Bacterial small subunit ribosomal RNA", at positions 28 to 507 of the family's 1533-position model. The record is from RNAcentral.